UCUACGGACCAAAGAGGGGGACCUUCGGGCCUCUUGCCAUCGGAUGUGCCCAGAUGGGAUUAGCUAGUAGGUGGGGUAACGGCUCACCUAGGCGACGAUCCCUAGCUGGUCUGAGAGGAUGACCAGCCACACUGGGACUGAGACACGGUCCAGACUCCUACGGGAGGUAGCAGUGGGGAAUAUUGCACAAUGGGCGCAAGCCUGAUGCAGCCAUGCCGCGUGUGUGAAGAAGGCCUUCGGGUUGUAAAGCACUUUCAGCGAGGAGGAAGGCCAAUAGCUUAAUACGNUGUUGGAUUGACGUUACUCGCAGGAGAAGCACCGGCUAACUCCGUGCCAGCAGCCGCGGUAAUACGGAGGGUGCAAGCGUUAAUCGGAAUUACUGGGCGUAAAGCGCACGCAGGCGGUUUGUUAAGUCAGAUGUGAAAUCCCCGCGCUUAACGUGGGAACUGCAUUUGAAACUGGCAAGCUAGAGUCUCGUAGAGGGGGGUAGAAUUCCAGGUGUAGCGGUGAAAUGCGUAGAGAUCUGGAGGAAUACCGGUGGCGAAGGCGGCCCCCUGGACGAAGACUGACGCUCAGGUGCGAAAGCGUGGGGAGCGAACAGGAUUAGAUACCCUGGUAGUCCACGCUGUAAACGAUGUCGAUU
Molecule: ribosomal RNA, 643 nt
Filed under: Serratia sp. (in: enterobacteria)
Lineage: Bacteria; Pseudomonadati; Pseudomonadota; Gammaproteobacteria; Enterobacterales; Yersiniaceae
Description: bacterial SSU rRNA
Rfam family: Bacterial small subunit ribosomal RNA
Source: RNAcentral